UACAUUGACUCUGUCACUUAUUUUCCUCCCCAUUUCCACAUCCCCCCACUCUGCAGGUGAGGCAUUUCCAGCUUGCCCCAUUGACCUCUUCACUCUUGACCAGCCUACAAUUCCCUCCCUUGGUCAGAGGUCGUCUUCCUUAGGGGAGGCUGCUGAGAGGGACAAAGAACUCGCAGCAGGGGCUCCUCAGCCCACUGUCAGAGAAAAAGACCUAGACCAACGGCUUCUUUGGCUUUCUGCAAAGUAUCAGAAAAAGGAAAUUUGGAAACAGCACACACGCAGAAGAAUGUCAUGCUAAGAGAAAGGAUCAGGGUGAAGCUUCUACAAGCCAAGGAAUACCAAAGACUGCCACCCUACCACCAGAAGCCAGGGGAGAAGCAAGGAACAGGCUCUUCCUCAGAGGACUGAGGAGGAACCAACCUUGUCAGCAUCUUGCUCUUGGACUUCUCACCUCCAGAACAGCGAGAGAACACAUUUCUGUUGUUGAAGCCACCAGUUCAUGUUACUUUGUUACAGCAGCCCUAGCAAACUCUUACCUUCCUCCAUGUCCAGCUCUAAUUCUCCAACAUUUUCCCCUAAGUGAUAGCAAUUUUCUUCUUUCAGUAAAUAAACUGAGAUAUUGUGGAAAGUGAAAGAAAAAAUA
Molecule: long non-coding RNA, 643 nt
Organism: Marmota flaviventris (yellow-bellied marmot)
Lineage: Eukaryota; Metazoa; Chordata; Mammalia; Rodentia; Sciuridae
Source: RefSeq, a predicted model, not a curated record